GACGAACGCUGGCGGCGUGCUUAACACAUGCAAGUCGAACGGUGAAGCGCCUUCCUUUUUGGUGGGUGUGGAUGAGUGGCGAACGGGUGAGUAACACGUGAGUAACCUGCCCCCUUCUUCUGGAUAACCGCAUGAAAGUGUGGCUAAUACGGGAUAUUCUGGGUCUGUCGCAUGAUGGGUCUGGGAAAGAUAUUGUUUCGGUGGGGGAUGGGCUCGCGGCCUAUCAGCUUGUUGGUGGGGUGAUGGCCUACCAAGGCGGUGACGGGUAGCCGGCCUGAGAGGGUGGACGGUCACACUGGGACUGAGCCACGGCCCAGACUCCUACGGGAGGCAGCAGUGGGGAAUAUUGCACAAUGGGCGCAAGCCUGAUGCAGCGACGCCGCGUGAGGGAUGGAGGCCUUCGGGUUGUGAACCUCUUUCGCCAGUGAAGCAGGCCUGCCUCGUUUGUGGGUGGGUUGACGGUAGCUGGAUAAGAAGCGCCGGCUAACUACGU
This 493-nucleotide ribosomal RNA is filed under the name uncultured bacterium. RNAcentral's name for it is "partial 16S ribosomal RNA". It matches the Rfam family "Bacterial small subunit ribosomal RNA", at positions 28 to 506 of the family's 1533-position model. The record is from RNAcentral.